UGAUUGCGAAUACUGGAUCGUGCAAGC
RNAcentral lists this non-coding RNA (27 nucleotides) under Bombyx mori (domestic silkworm). The record is from RNAcentral. Lineage: Eukaryota; Metazoa; Arthropoda; Insecta; Lepidoptera; Bombycidae.